ACGGGUGAGUAACACGUGGGUAACCUACCUAUAAGACUGGGACAACUUCGGGAAACCGGAGCUAAUACCGGAUAAGAUAUCGAACCGCAUGGUUCGAUAGUGAAAGAUGGUUUUGCUAUCACUUAUAGAUGGACCCGCGCCGUAUUAGCUAGUUGGUGAGGUAACGGCUCACCAAGGCAACGAUACGUAGCCGACCUGAGAGGGUGAUCGGCCACACUGGAACUGAGACACGGUCCAGACUCCGUACGGGAGGCAGCAGGA
Molecule: ribosomal RNA, 261 nt
Filed under: uncultured Staphylococcus sp.
Lineage: Bacteria; Bacillati; Bacillota; Bacilli; Caryophanales; Staphylococcaceae
Description: partial 16S ribosomal RNA
Rfam family: Bacterial small subunit ribosomal RNA
Source: RNAcentral